GAUGAACGCUGGCGGCGUGCCUAAUACAUGCAAGUCGAGCGAACGGACGAGAAGCUUGCUUCUCUGAUGUUAGCGGCGGACGGGUGAGUAACACGUGGAUAACCUACCUAUAAGACUGGGAUAACUUCGGGAAACCGGAGCUAAUACCGGAUAAUAUUUUGAACCGCAUGGUUCAAAAGUGAAAGACGGUCUUGCUGUCACUUAUAGAUGGAUCCGCGCUGCAUUAGCUAGUUGGUAAGGUAACGGCUUACCAAGGCAACGAUGCAUAGCCGACCUGAGGGGGGGAACCGCCAACUGGGAGUGGACGACCGUCCUGGACCCGAGGGGAGGGCGGGAGGGGGAAGUCGUGCGGAAGGGGGGAAACCUGAACGAGGCAAGCCGGGGUGGUGGAGAAAGGCCUUGGGGUGGAAAACCGCUUUUUUGGGGAAAAAACAUUUUGGUAGGAACCGGGCAUUUUGUGACGGUACCUAAAGAAGAAGCACCGGCUAACUUCGUG
RNAcentral lists this ribosomal RNA (496 nucleotides) under uncultured bacterium. RNAcentral describes it as "partial 16S ribosomal RNA". It matches the Rfam family "Bacterial small subunit ribosomal RNA", at positions 28 to 507 of the family's 1533-position model. The record is from RNAcentral.